RNAcentral lists this long non-coding RNA (739 nucleotides) under Spirodela polyrhiza (greater duckweed). RNAcentral's name for it is "long non-coding RNA (SPOL_LNC001953)". Lineage: Eukaryota; Viridiplantae; Streptophyta; Magnoliopsida; Alismatales; Araceae. The record is from RNAcentral.
AUAUAUGUACAAUAUAUAUCAAUAUUUAUGCAUUGGAGUAUAAGAUUAAUCUACGCUUAUUUAGUUAUAUAUUUAUUUAUUAAUUGGACGUUAUGGCUGUGGGGUUUGACUAUUUUGCCCCCUCAGGGCGGCCCCCCUUGGAGGAGAUCUUGCUGUCUAGAAAAGGAGGCAAGGUUGGUUUAUUGAUCUCUGAUCCCCAUCUUGAUCUACUGCAUCAUCACCGUCGAUUUGGUGGACCCGAGGUUGCCGGUCGUUGACUUUCGUUGAAUUUCAGGCUCCGACGUGCGGCGACAGCGUUGACGACGCCUGCAAGAUGUGACCCCAGCUUUCCAUAUAUGUGUAUAUUGGUAUACGUGUUUGUAAUUUGACGUUAAGAUGAUAAGAUAUGGGAUGAUCAUGGGAAGAACAGCUGUACGGACAACCACCAGAGAAGUCAACGCCCAAGAAGAAGAAAAUAGAAUGAUCAUGAGAUAUAAUAUACGAUGGAACGAUCAUGAAAUAUAAUCCCAAAAUGGGCUCUGGCUCCGACCCUCUUUGCCCAAGGAGACGGGGAGAGAGAGAGAGAAUGGGAGCGGUACAGGAUCCUUAAAGUCAACGCAGUCUGCAGCAUCAGUGGGAAAUGACCUGCAAUUCAUGAAGUCAACUCGAGAUAAGGAGAGAAACUACGAGCCGAUGCAGCAAGUUGCAGGGUGUCUAAGCUGACUUUCAAGGUGGACCUGCCUCCGUGCUCCGCCGCCUA